This 254-nucleotide ribosomal RNA is filed under the name uncultured bacterium. RNAcentral describes it as "partial 16S ribosomal RNA". It matches the Rfam family "Bacterial small subunit ribosomal RNA", at positions 524 to 776 of the family's 1533-position model. The record is from RNAcentral.
UACAUGUGGGGCAAGCGUUGUUCGGAAUCACUGGGCAUAAAGGGUGCGUAGGCGGUGGUGCACGUCCUGGGUGAAAUCCUUCGGCCCAACCGGAGGUCUGCCUGGGAUACGGCAUUACUUGAGUGCGUGAGGGGUGACUGGAACGCGUGGUGUAGCGGUGAAAUGCGUAGAUAUCACGCGGAAGGCCAACGGCGAAGGCAAGUCACUGGUACGCAACUGACGCUGAGUGCACGAAAGCGUGGGGAGCAAACAGG